RNAcentral lists this ribosomal RNA (417 nucleotides) under uncultured eukaryote. RNAcentral describes it as "bacterial SSU rRNA". It matches the Rfam family "Eukaryotic small subunit ribosomal RNA", at positions 592 to 1018 of the family's 1831-position model. The record is from RNAcentral.
CAAUAGCGUAUAUUAAAGUUGUUGCAGUUAAAAAGCUCGUAGUUGGAGUUCAGAUUGAGCUCGGCCGGUCGGCCUAAUUGGUCAGAACUGGUUGACUCUGUCUUGUUUGUGGAUCCCUCCGGAGUUAACUCUUCGGAUGUGGAGUCCACAUCGUUUACCUUGAAAAAUUAGAGUGUUCAAAGCAGGCGUUUGCUUGAAUAUAUUAGCAUGGAAUAAUGGAAUAGGACGCUGGUUCUAUUUUGUUGGUUUUGAGAACCAGAGUAAUGAUUAAUAGGGACAGUUGGGGGCAUUCGUAUUGACGAGUCAGAGGUGAAAUUCUUGGAUUUCGUCACGACGAACUACUGCGAAAGCAUUUACCAAGGAUGUUUUCAUUAAUCAAGAACGAAAGUUAGGGGAUCGAAGAUGAUUAGAUACCGU